RNAcentral lists this ribosomal RNA (787 nucleotides) under uncultured Campylobacterota bacterium. Its description in RNAcentral is "bacterial SSU rRNA". It matches the Rfam family "Bacterial small subunit ribosomal RNA", at positions 509 to 1297 of the family's 1533-position model. Lineage: Bacteria; Pseudomonadati; Campylobacterota. The record is from RNAcentral.
CAGCAGCCGCGGUAAUACGGAGGGUGCAAGCGUUACUCGGAAUCACUGGGCGUAAAGCGCGCGCAGGCGGCCUUUUAAGUUGGAUGUGAAAGCCUAUGGCUCAACCAUAGAACUGCAUCCAAAACUAUCAGGCUAGAGUGUGGGAGAGGAAGAUGGAAUUAGUUGUGUAGGGGUAAAAUCCGUAGAGAUAACUAGGAAUACCAAAAGCGAAGGCAAUCUUCUGGAACAUUACUGACGCUGAGGCGCGAAAGCGUGGGGAGCAAACAGGAUUAGAUACCCUGGUAGUCCACGCCCUAAACGAUGAAUGUUAGUCGUCGGGUAGCUAGUCUAUUCGGUGAUGCAGCUAACGCAUUAAACAUUCCGCCUGGGGAGUACGGUCGCAAGAUUAAAACUCAAAGGAAUAGACGGGGACCCGCACAAGUGGUGGAGCAUGUGGUUUAAUUCGAAGAUACGCGAAGAACCUUACCUAGCCUUGACAUAUUUAAGAACACUUUAGAGAUAGAGUGGUGCCUUCGGGAGCUUUUAUACAGGUGCUGCACGGCUGUCGUCAGCUCGUGUCGUGAGAUGUUGGGUUAAGUCCCGCAACGAGCGCAACCCUCGUCACUAGUUACUAACGGUUCGGCCGAGGACUCUAGUGAGACUGGCUUCGUAAGGAGGAGGAAGGUGAGGACGACGUCAAGUCAUCAUGGCCCUUACGGCUAGGGCAACACACGUGCUACAAUGGCCAGGACAAUGAGACGCGAUACCGCGAGGUGGAGCAAAUCUAUAAACCUGGUCUCAGUUCGGA